AGAAUGAACGCUGGCGGCAUGCCUAACACAUGCAAGUCGAACGAAACCUUCGGGUUUAGUGGCGCACGGGUGCGUAACGCGUGGGAAUCUACCCCUUGGUUCGGAAUAACAGUUGGAAACGACUGCUAAUACCGGAUGAUGACGUAAGUCCAAAGAUUUAUCGCCGAGGGAUGAGCCCGCGUAGGAUUAGCUAGUUGGUGUGGUAAAGGCGCACCAAGGCGACGAUCCUUAGCUGGUCUGAGAGGAUGAUCAGCCACACUGGGACUGAGACACGGCCCAGACUCCUACGGGAGGCAGCAGUGGGGAAUAUUGGACAAUGGGCGAAAGCCUGAUCCAGCAAUGCCGCGUGAGUGAUGAAGGCCUUAGGGUUGUAAAGCUCUUUACCCGGGAUGAUAAUGACAGUACCGGAGAAUAAGCUCCGGCUAACUCCGCGCCAGCAGCCGC
Molecule: ribosomal RNA, 444 nt
Filed under: uncultured bacterium
Lineage: Bacteria
Description: SSU rRNA
Rfam family: Bacterial small subunit ribosomal RNA
Source: RNAcentral